Molecule: ribosomal RNA, 190 nt
Filed under: Bembidion horni
Lineage: Eukaryota; Metazoa; Arthropoda; Insecta; Coleoptera; Carabidae
Description: partial 28S large subunit ribosomal RNA
Source: RNAcentral
AAACCCGAAAGUUCGAACGGGGAGAUUCAAUUGAUUUACCGGUGAUGAUCAAUAGUGCAGUAUUUGGGACGCAUAUGAUAUGCAAUUUCGAUUGUAUUAUUAUAUACGCUCUGCUGUCUGUUGUAUAUUUAUUGUCGGAGUCAUGCACUUCUCCCCUUGUAGGACGUCGUGACCCGUUGAGCAUUUAUAA